CUCCUUUACUUACAAAAAAACUUACUCAAGUAGGUUGUCCUUCUAGGUAACUUGUGACUGUAUGGGAAACUGUUGAUCACAGCCUGAACCUCUGAUUAACCACCUGUGGCAAGCAAUGAGUCAGCUGUGGGAGCACAGGUGAAAGUAAUACAAGUGGUGCUUGGUUCCACCUCUUCCAGAACUCAGAACCACCAGUGAGGCAGGAUCUUUUUUUCUUGAGGUGGCUGUUUUGUGGAUUUUAGUGCUAAUCUUCAACAUUGGUGAGUGUUUUUUUAUUUAACGCGUGUUAUUUUUUUUAUUGUAUUAAUCUUUUUUUAUGGAAGAUCUGUUUAAUCUCUGUUUAGCUAUUGAUUGUGUAACUGCACAAUGACUAUUUAAGUCAUUUCCUGCCACAAGCAGUGUCGUGUUCUUGCUUGGAGCACCUGAGAUGGUGGCCAUCUCCUCAGGGCUCUUUAAGAUGCCAUGGAGUCACAUUUGUUAAAGCUUUUCAGGAUAAAUUUCCAUGUAGAAGGCUUGCUGUAUUUUCAAACAACUUAUUGUUAAGGAAGCACACAGGGUAAUGUGGCUCAGUGUUUUCACAGUCUGUUAAUUUCAUGCAAGUUUGCUAGAA
Molecule: long non-coding RNA, 610 nt
Filed under: Coturnix japonica (Japanese quail)
Lineage: Eukaryota; Metazoa; Chordata; Aves; Galliformes; Phasianidae
Description: lncRNA (ENSCJPG00005008567.1)
Source: RNAcentral